RNAcentral lists this ribosomal RNA (500 nucleotides) under uncultured bacterium. RNAcentral's name for it is "partial 16S ribosomal RNA". It matches the Rfam family "Bacterial small subunit ribosomal RNA", at positions 32 to 507 of the family's 1533-position model. The record is from RNAcentral.
AAUCAACGCUGGCGGCGUGCCUAACACAUGCAAGUCGAACGCGAAAGCCCCGCAAGGGGUAAGUAGAGUGGCAAACGGGUGAGUAACACGUGGGUGACCUGCCUUCGAGUGGGGGAUAACGUCCCGAAAGGGACGCUAAUACCGCAUGACAUCCUGCUUUUGAAAAAGCGGAGAUCAAAGCUGGGGAUCGCAAGACCUAGCGCUUGAAGAGGGGCCCGCGCCUGAUUAGCUAGUUGGUGAGGUAACGGCUCACCAAGGCGACGAUCGGUAUCCGGCCUGAGAGGGCGGACGGACACACUGGGACUGAGACACGGCCCAGACUCCUACGGGAGGCAGCAGUGGGGAAUUGUUCGCAAUGGGCGCAAGCCUGACGACGCAACGCCGCGUGGAGGACGAAGAUCUUCGGGUCGUAAACUCCUGUCGAGCGGGACGAACGCUUCGCGGAUGAAUAAUCCGCGGAAUUGACGGUACCGCUAAAGGAAGCCCCGGCUAACUCCGUG